GUAUGUUCGUUAUUGAUUUUCCAUAUUUUAUUUUAUCAACAUAUCUACUCUUGUAUUUUCAUUCCUAGCAAUUGUAAUGAUAUACUAGUCAAACUCCAAUAUGACAUAUAAACAUUCUGUAGAUUAUAGGCCAAAGGCUAAGUCUCACUUCUUGUUACAACUCUUUUGUGCAUAUAAUUUUUGGAUAUUUGCACAAAAACACAUUUUUAUAUAACUUCAAGGUUAUUGAAAGUAGCAGCUUUCUCCUUAUUAUCAUUUUUUUUUGUUGGGUUUUCUUACAUGGUUCCUCAAUGCUGACAAAUUAUUAUUAACUUGAGAGUUUUUUGUUGUCAUGAGUCAGUCCCUUCAAUACUCAUGCAAAUGCCCCAAAAAAAAAAAAAAAUCCAUAAAUAUUUUUAUGCUUCAUCUGCUCUUAGAUUGUAAAAUUUCUGAAUACUACUUUAUUUUCCAUAAAAUCUGGGAUAUAUACACUAUAUAUGUUCAACUCUAUUGACCUGAAUUGGCAUUAAUGAGGAUGACAGCAAUGAGUUAUACUAUCUACAAGAACUAGUUCUCAACACUACCUGUUAAUUAAUUUAAAAUAACCUUAAAAGGAAAGAGAACAAAAAAAAAAGUUAAAAUGAGGUGCAAAUAUAGUAAUGCUGUUUAUGAUCCGAAAAAACUGGAACAUAGAUUGUUAUUGAUUGUAGACAGAAACCUCCUCAUAAUCCUUUAAAUUUUCUAAGAACUUUAAUGUACCUGAGGUUUUCAUAUCACUGAAUUUAUGCUACUGAUGAUAGCACUGGAAAGCUAUCUAGUUUUUGAGCUUUUUGGAGCCUUCUUUUCUAGUAAUGCUGUUUAUGAUCCGAAAAUACUGGAACAUAGAUCGUUAUUGAUUGUAGACAGAAACCUCCUCAUAAGCCUUUAAAUUUUCUAAGAACUUUAAUGUACCUGAGGUUUUCAUAUCACUGAAUUUAUGCUAUUGAUGAUAGCACUGGAAAGCUAUCUAGUUUUUGAGCUUUUUGGAGCGUUCUUUUCUAAUUUAGAUAUUGAUGGACAUUGUUAUAAUAAUUUACGACUUACUAUACAUGCAAAAUCAUGGCAAUAACUUAUACUGUUAUCUGUUAAUUUGAUUUAUUUAUGAGCUAAAGUGGAUAACUAUGAAUGUUACAGAAGAUAUUUUGAGAGCAUCUCACUGAAAUAAUUACUUGACUGCCCUGUAUUUUGAAAUUGAUUAAUUAUAAGUUGACCGAUGACAAUUGAUAAGACACGUGAGUUUUGAUAUUGGAAAGCGAAACUUUUAAAUUGCCAGUAAAAUUCAUUUUUGAGAACAAACAAAUUGGUUAUUGCAUGUCCUUCGAGUUUUCCAAGCUGGCUGAAAUACUUUUGCUAUGUUUUUUUAAUUUUUCUGGUCAAUGGUGUCCGAAGUUUGUAUGUUUUCCCACAUUCUUAUUACACACAAAACUAUUAUUUGCAGGAACAGUUGAUUGCUUAUACUUUUUUUUUUUUGGGUUGUUGUGUGUGUGUAGCACGUUUAAUCAUCCCUAUGUGUGAAAGUAAUUUUGGUUAAUAUGUUACUUUGCUAAUAUAUCAGAAAUUGUCCAGAAGAGGCCUACAUUGUUAUAACUUUUCAAGUUUCCUGAAUUGUCAAGUCUUAAGGGUUUACACCCAUCUUUGCAU
This 1659-nucleotide long non-coding RNA is filed under the name Citrus x clementina. Its description in RNAcentral is "Citrus clementina (C. clementina) long non-coding RNA (CCLE_LNC002078)". The record is from RNAcentral. Lineage: Eukaryota; Viridiplantae; Streptophyta; Magnoliopsida; Sapindales; Rutaceae.